UGCUGGCACGUAGUUAGCCGGUGCUUUUUCUGCAGGUACCGUCACUUUCGCUUCUUCCCUGCUAAAAGAGGUUUACAACCCGAAGGCCUUCGUCCCUCACGCGGCGUUGCUGCAUCAGGCUUGCGCCCAUUGUGCAAUAUUCCCCA
RNAcentral lists this ribosomal RNA (146 nucleotides) under uncultured Agrococcus sp. Its description in RNAcentral is "partial 16S ribosomal RNA". The record is from RNAcentral. Lineage: Bacteria; Bacillati; Actinomycetota; Actinomycetes; Micrococcales; Microbacteriaceae.